ACGGGUGAGUAACACAUCGGAACGUGCCUAGUAGUGGGGGAUAACUACUCGAAAGAGUAGCUAAUACCGCAUGAGAUCUACGGAUGAAAGCAGGGGACCUUCGGGCCUUGCGCUACUAGAGCGGCUGAUGGCAGAUUAGGUAGUUGGUGGGAUAAAAGCUUACCAAGCCGACGAUCUGUAGCUGGUCUGAGAGGACGACCAGCCACACUGGGACUGAGACACGGCCCAGACUCCUACGGGAGGCAGCAGUGGGGAAUUUUGGACAAUGGGCGAAAGCCUGAUCCAGCAAUGCCGCGUGCAGGAUGAAGGCCCUCGGGUUGUAAACUGCUUUUGUACGGAACGAAAAGACUCUCUCUAAUAAAGAGGGUUGAUGACGGUACCGUAAGAAUAAGCACCGGCUAACUACGUGCCAGCAGCCGCGGUAAUACGUAGGGUGCGAGCGUUAAUCGGAAUUACUGGGCGUAAAGCGUGCGCAGGCGGUUAUGUAAGACAGAGGUGAAAUCCCCGGGCUCAACCUGGGAACGGCCUUUGUGACUGCAUGGCUAGAGUGCGGCAGAGGGGGAUGGAAUUCCGCGU
This 576-nucleotide ribosomal RNA is filed under the name uncultured bacterium. RNAcentral's name for it is "bacterial SSU rRNA". It matches the Rfam family "Bacterial small subunit ribosomal RNA", at positions 102 to 674 of the family's 1533-position model. The record is from RNAcentral.